RNAcentral lists this ribosomal RNA (429 nucleotides) under Bacteroidota bacterium. RNAcentral's name for it is "Bacteroidetes bacterium partial 16S ribosomal RNA". It matches the Rfam family "Bacterial small subunit ribosomal RNA", at positions 355 to 776 of the family's 1533-position model. The record is from RNAcentral. Lineage: Bacteria; Pseudomonadati; Bacteroidota.
UAGGGAAUCUUCGGCAAUGGGGGGAACCCUGACCGAGCAACGCCGCGUGAGUGAAGAAGGUUUUCGGAUCGUAAAGCUCUGUUGUUAAGGAAGAACGAGUGUGAGAAUGGAAAGUUCAUACUGUGACGGUACUUAACCAGAAAGGGACGGCUAACUACGUGCCAGCAGCCGCGGUAAUACGUAGGUCCCGAGCGUUGUCCGGAUUUAUUGGGCGUAAAGCGAGCGCAGGCGGUUAGAUAAGUCUGAAGUUAAAGGCAGUGGCUCAACCAUUGUAGGCUUUGGAAACUGUGUAACUUGAGUGCAGAAGGGGAGAGUGGAAUUCCAUGUGUAGCGGUGAAAUGCGUAGAUAUAUGGAGGAACACCGGUGGCGAAAGCGGCUCUCUGGUCUGUAACUGACGCUGAGGCUCGAAAGCGUGGGGAGCGAACAGG